AGGAACAGUGAUGAGUCCUACAGACCUGUAAUGAUUUGCGGAUAUGAUCGCAGAUUGUUAUGAACAUCUAAGGGACUGAGUUCUU
Rosa rugosa (rugosa rose) is the source of this 85-nucleotide small nucleolar RNA. RefSeq annotates it as small nucleolar RNA SNORD25. The transcript has a single exon. Lineage: Eukaryota; Viridiplantae; Streptophyta; Magnoliopsida; Rosales; Rosaceae. The record is from RefSeq and is a predicted model, not a curated record.